UAGGGAAUCUUCGGCAAUGGACGAAAGUCUGACCGAGCAACGCCGCGUGAGUGAAGAAGGUUUUCGGAUCGUAAAACUCUGUUGUUAGAGAAGAACAAGGACGUUAGUAACUGAACGUCCCCUGACGGUAUCUAACCAGAAAGCCACGGCUAACUACGUGCCAGCAGCCGCGGUAAUACGUAGGUGGCAAGCGUUGUCCGGAUUUAUUGGGCGUAAAGCGAGCGCAGGCGGUUUCUUAAGUCUGAUGUGAAAGCCCCCGGCUCAACCGGGGAGGGUCAUUGGAAGCUGUGAGACUUGAGUGCAGAAGAGGAGAGUGGAAUUCCAUGUGUAGCGGUGAAAUGCGUAGAUAUAUGGAGGAACACCAGUGGCGAAGGCGGCUCUCUGGUCUGUAACUGACGCUGAGGCUCGAAAGCGUGGGGAGCAAACAGG
Molecule: ribosomal RNA, 429 nt
Filed under: Gemmatimonadota bacterium
Lineage: Bacteria; Pseudomonadati; Gemmatimonadota
Description: Gemmatimonadetes bacterium partial 16S ribosomal RNA
Rfam family: Bacterial small subunit ribosomal RNA
Source: RNAcentral